Molecule: microRNA precursor, 57 nt
Filed under: Bos taurus (domestic cattle)
Lineage: Eukaryota; Metazoa; Chordata; Mammalia; Artiodactyla; Bovidae
Source: RNAcentral
GAAGUUGCCCAUGUUCUUUUCGCUGAUAUGUGACGAAACAAACAUGGUGCACUUCUU